Molecule: ribosomal RNA, 352 nt
Filed under: uncultured bacterium
Lineage: Bacteria
Description: partial 16S ribosomal RNA
Rfam family: Bacterial small subunit ribosomal RNA
Source: RNAcentral
CCUACGGGUGGCAGCAGUGGGGGAUAUUGCACAAUGGGGGGAACCCUGAUGCAGCGACGCCGCGUGGGUGAAGGAGUGCUUCGGCAUGUAAAGCCCUAUCGGCAGGGAAGAAGCAAGACGGUACCUGACUAAGAAGCCCCGGCUAACUACGUGCCAGCAGCCGCGGUAAUACGUAGGGGGCGAGCGUUAUCCGGAUUCACUGGAUGUAAAGGGAGCGUAGACGGCCAUGCAAGCCAGGGGUGAAAGCCCGGGGCCCAACCCCGGGACUGCCCUUGGAACUGCAUGGCUGGAGGGCGUGGGGGGCAGGCGGAAUUCCGGGUGUAGCGGUGGAAUGCGUGGAUAUCAGGAGGGA